This 476-nucleotide ribosomal RNA is filed under the name uncultured bacterium. RNAcentral's name for it is "partial 16S ribosomal RNA". It matches the Rfam family "Bacterial small subunit ribosomal RNA", at positions 29 to 523 of the family's 1533-position model. The record is from RNAcentral.
AGUGAACGCUGGCGGCGUGCUUAACACAUGCAAGUCGAACGGAUGAAGUAAGCUUGCUUAUUUCGUUAGAGGCGCACGGGUGAGUAAUGUAUAGCUAACCUGCCCUUUAGUGGGGGACAACAGUUGGAAACGACUGCUAAUACCCCAUACUCCUUCUUAUCAUAAGGUAAGUCGGGAAAGAUUUAUUGCUAAAGGAUGGGGCUUUAUUUUAUCAGCGUGUUGGUGGGGUAAUGGCCUACCAAGGCGAUGACGCAUACCUGGUCUGAGAGGAUGAUCAGGCACACUGGAACUGAGACACGGUCCAGACUCCUACGGGAGGCAGCAGUGGGGAAUAUUGCACAAUGGGGGAAACCCUGAUGCAGCAACGCCGCGUGGAGGAUGACGCAUUUCGGUGUGUAAACUCCUUUUAUAAGGGAAGAUAAUGACGGUACCUUAUGAAUAAGCACCGGCUAACUCCGUGCCAGCCGCCGCCGUAA